RNAcentral lists this ribosomal RNA (425 nucleotides) under uncultured bacterium. Its description in RNAcentral is "partial 16S ribosomal RNA". It matches the Rfam family "Bacterial small subunit ribosomal RNA", at positions 354 to 796 of the family's 1533-position model. The record is from RNAcentral.
GUGGGGAAUCUUAGACAAUGGGCGCAAGCCUGAUCUAGCCAUGCCGCGUGAGCGAUGAAGGCCUUAGGGUUGUAAAGCUCUUUCACCGGUGAAGAUAAUGACUGUAGCCGGAGAAGAAGCCCCGGCUAACUUCGUGCCAGCAGCCGCGGUAAUACGAAGGGGGCUAGCGUUGUUCGGAAUUACUGGGCGUAAAGCGCACGUAGGCGGAUCAGAAAGUCAGAGGGGAAAUCCCAGGGCUCAACCUUGGAACUGCCUUUGAAACUCCUGGUCUUGAGGUCGAGAGAGGUGAGUGGAAUUCCGAGUGUAGAGGUGAAAUUCGUAGAUAUUCGGAGGAACACCAGUGGCGAAGGCGGCUCACUGGCUCGAUACUGACGCUGAGGUGCGAAAGCGUGGGGAGCAAACAGGAUUAGAAACCCCAGUAGUCC